This 328-nucleotide long non-coding RNA is filed under the name Pan troglodytes (chimpanzee). RNAcentral's name for it is "long non-coding RNA NONPTRT007795". Lineage: Eukaryota; Metazoa; Chordata; Mammalia; Primates; Hominidae. The record is from RNAcentral.
CCAGUAAUGGGAUUGCUGGGUAAAAUUGUAUUUUUCCAGUUCUAGGUCUUUGAGGAAUCACCACACUGUCUUCCACAAUGGUUGAACUAAUUUACUUUCCCACCAAUGGUGUAAAAAGCAUCUCCAAGAGCAUAGAUCUUCUGCUACACGACAGGGCCAGGGCCAGGACCACUUUCAGCUCCAGGCAAUUGCACUGAGGACUCAGUGACACAACCGUGUGAAGUGCCUGCUUCCCCUUCGCCUUCUGCCAUGAUUGGAAGCUUCCUGAGGCCUCUACAGAAGCAGAAGCCGCUAUGCUUCCUGUACAGCUUGCAGAACUAUGAGCCAA